GAGGCGGUUCUCUGAAACACGAACGGCACCGGCAAGGGGACAAACAUGAUCCUCCGUCUUCUCUUCUCUUCUCUAUCACUGACAGUAACAGCGGCAAUAAUAACAAUCUUCCUCUCUUCUCAGUGUCUUCGUCCGCUUUCCAGGUAACAUGGAUUGACUGACAGAUUAUUGUUGAGAAAAAAUGUGAAGAAAUCAAGAAAGAAGAAAUUACAGUUGCCUAACCCAGAGUUCUGCCACAUAUAUGGGCCAGAAUACUGUAUUUUUAUAAAAUAUGUAUGUUUUGCAUUUUCUUAAAAUAUCAUUAUUAAAAUGAUAUGGAAGGGAUUGUGGUGGUUUCCUUUUAUC
RNAcentral lists this long non-coding RNA (345 nucleotides) under Scleropages formosus (Asian bonytongue). RNAcentral's name for it is "lncRNA (ENSSFOG00015032022.1)". Lineage: Eukaryota; Metazoa; Chordata; Actinopteri; Osteoglossiformes; Osteoglossidae. The record is from RNAcentral.